RNAcentral lists this ribosomal RNA (457 nucleotides) under uncultured bacterium. RNAcentral's name for it is "bacterial SSU rRNA". It matches the Rfam family "Bacterial small subunit ribosomal RNA", at positions 346 to 793 of the family's 1533-position model. The record is from RNAcentral.
AGGCAGCAGUGGGGAAUAUUGCACAAUGGGCGCAAGCCUGAUGCAGCCAUGCCGCGUGUAUGAAGAAGGCCUUCGGGUUGUAAAGUACUUUCAGCAGUGAGGAAGGUGGGUAUGUUAAUAGCAUACUCAUUUGACGUUAGCUGCAGAAGAAGCACCGGCUAACUCCGUGCCAGCAGCCGCGGUAAUACGGAGGGUGCGAGCGUUAAUCGGAAUUACUGGGCGUAAAGCGCAUGCAGGUGGUUUGUUAAGUCAGAUGUGAAAGCCCGGGGCUCAACCUCGGAAUUGCAUUUGAAACUGGCAAACUAGAGUACUGUAGAGGGGGUAGAAUUUCAGGUGUAGCGGUGAAAUGCGUAGAGAUCUGAAGGAAUACCGGUGGCGAAGGCGGCCCCCCUGGACAGAUACUGACACUCAGAUGCGAAAGCGUGGGGAGCAAACCAGGAUUAGAUACCCCUGGUAG